UCCAACUCCUGACCUCAUGAUCCCCCCGCCUCAGCCUCCCAAAGUGCUGGGAUUACAAGCGUGAGCCACCGCGACCCGCCAACACUCUUGACAACAGUGCUGUGCUAAGAACUUGGGGGACUUCAAAAAGUUCACCAGUUCCUGUGUCCAUGGGUGAAAAGAUUUUCUACAUCUUUCCUUGACUAGAAACAGAAGUCCUGAAACAAGAAUAUAACGUCAGGAGGCCAGAGGCUUUGUCCUGCCUAAUGUGUUAUUUCCACACUGAAUAAAAGCACCUGAGUCCUGGCAUAUGGCAAGGGAGUAAAGCCAAACUUUUUACCACAUGGCAAAAAUAAUUGUAUUUUGCAACAGACUAAAAGCUUAAUGCUAUACAGACUUUGGGUUGGUGGAGUUACUUGAGGAUUUACUCCAGCAAAACAAAAAAAAGAAUGAAAGAAAGAGAAAGAUAAAAAUAUGAAAGAAGCAACAGACCUAUUCCAGAAAUGUAAUGAAAAAAGGCCACGAAGUUUGACAACUAUGUAUUAAAUUUACAAUCAGUCCAAAUUAGACUGGUAGUCAGAUUGAUAUGAGAAGUACAUUUUCAAAAAGAUGUACUAUACCAAAUAAUAUGAGUGCAAAACUCUGGAUGAUUUUAGUAAUAAUGUGAAGACACAUAUUUCUUUUGACAAUUAAAAAAAAGAAAAUGAAUUGGAAACUUCAGGAAACGUCAGAAAAUACAAAAUGCUCUGUAGGAAGUAAUUGUCUAAAUGAGAGGUGAAGCCAGUGGGACUUCCUGGAUUGGAUGGGGACUUGGAGAACUUUUCUGUCUAGCUA
Molecule: long non-coding RNA, 813 nt
Filed under: Homo sapiens (human)
Lineage: Eukaryota; Metazoa; Chordata; Mammalia; Primates; Hominidae
Description: HSALNT0376080
Source: RNAcentral